GACGAACGCUGGCGGCGUGCCUAACACAUGCAAGUCGAACGAGAAUCUUUGAACAGAUCUUUUCGGAGUGACGUUUAAAGAGGAAAGUGGCGGACGGGCGAGUAACGCGUGAGUAACCUGCCCAUAAGAGGGGGAUAAUCCAUGGAAACGUGGACUAAUACCGCAUAUUGUAAUAAAAUCGCAUGAUUUAAUUAUGAAAGAUUUAUCGCUUAUGGAUGGACUCGCGUCAGAUUAGAUAGUUGGUGAGGUAACGGCUCACCAAGUCAACGAUCUGUAGCCGAACUGAGAGGUUGAUCGGCCGCAUUGGGACUGAGACACGGCCCAGACUCCUACGGGAGGCAGCAGUGGGGAAUAUUGCGCAAUGGGGGCAACCCUGACGCAGCAACGCCGCGUGCAGGAAGAAGGUCUUCGGAUUGUAAACUGUUGUCGCAAGGGAAGAAGACAGUGACGGUACCUUGUGAGAAAGUCACGGCU
RNAcentral lists this ribosomal RNA (474 nucleotides) under uncultured bacterium. RNAcentral describes it as "bacterial SSU rRNA". It matches the Rfam family "Bacterial small subunit ribosomal RNA", at positions 28 to 498 of the family's 1533-position model. The record is from RNAcentral.